Molecule: non-coding RNA, 1797 nt
Organism: Phalacrocorax carbo (great cormorant)
Lineage: Eukaryota; Metazoa; Chordata; Aves; Suliformes; Phalacrocoracidae
Source: RefSeq, a predicted model, not a curated record
GCUCUCGCCGGCCGGUGUCCCACCGGCGGGGCUGUCCGGGCCCCGCUGCUCGCGCAGGGGUCGGUGCCGCCGUGGGUCCCCGGGGCGGGCAGGGCUGCGGGCGCGGGAGGCGGCCUCGGAGCGCCGGAGCCGGGCGGGAGGUCGCGGCAGGAGAAGCCGCGGCCCGAGCGCUCCCGCCCGAGAGCGGCCCGGCGAGGCAGAGCGGCGGCCCUCGGCAGCGGGCGGCUCCGCCGAGCCGGCGGGUGCCCCCCGGCGCCCCGAGCCCACACGCAGCCCCCGCCGGCCGCUGCUCCCCGCUCCGGCGCGGCCUGCCUUUCCCUGAUGCAGCGCCCCUGCGGGUUUGCUGAGGGCUUCCGCGGUGAAGAACAGCCCGAGCUGGGUGCCUCCGGAGAGGGACCCCGAGCAGAGGAGCCCUGCGCGGUUAUCCCCGUGCAAUCCCCGUUCCCCUGCCCCCAGCUGAUGCUUCCAUCCCGCAGCGAUGCCUGGGGCUGGGGUCGCCUAGUUCCUCAUUGGAUCCUUUCUCUGUCUCCACGUGGGACGUUCCCUCUCUCACCUUGAUGGAUGCGGCUUCUGCUGACGGUUGUGGCUGUUCAUCGAACAUAUAUAAGUUUAUACAUGCUCCUCGUCCAGGUUAAGUGUCGGUGCCCCAUCCGGCCCAUCCACCUUGGUAAAGGCCGGUGAUAAAGUGUCCUUUGGGCAGGAGCGGUGACACGUCACGAUACCGACCCCAGUUCGUCCCUACUUACUGUCGCCCUCGUUACCCGAGCUUAGGUCGCCCUCGGCUGCUCCAGGGGGGUCCGCAUGCUGCCUUAUGCAGAGAGAGAGGAAAGGGCAGUUGGUUUAUCAACCAUCACACAACAUGCUUAGACUACAUCAAACAUUAAGAUCUUACAACGGUUCUUGCUUUACUGGCAAACGUAGGCAUAACGUCCACUGAAGAGAGCAGUGCUCGAUUCAAUAAUCGAAAUUCUCUCGUCGCGUAGUCGCUGGCUCUCAACCGUAACGGAGUGACAAGCUUUCUGUGGGGCUUGCCCCCAUAAACCUCUCAUCGGUGUUGCUGACCUCAUCCUUCACGAAGCUGGAAAUACCGUGGCCCUGGGAAACCACCUUGGUCCAGUUCUCACAUUCCCACUUCCUCCAGUUACAGGCCCUCGGGAAGGUGACGUCUGGGGCAGGUACCUCCCGUUCCGAGGCUGGUUGCUCACUGCCGGGCUCCCCGGAUGUCACCACCGCUCAGGUCCCAGAGAGGAGGACCUUUUCCCUUAUCCCCUCCUGCUGCAAUCCAUAGUUUUUCAAACUCUUUCUCAAGUCCCUCUUGUCAAGACACCGCACGGAUCAUUGCAUCCGAAGACCACGCAAUUCUGUGUAGCCUUCGGAGCUGCACGCCGGGGAUCCAUCCCGAGAGCCCGGUGCUACCCAGGCCUCCGUCCCGAGUGCUGGAACGUAGGGCGGCAUCGCACGCGCUUCCUGGGAGACGUAGCCGUUCCUUGGCAGUUGCUUGAAUUGCCAGGUCAAGGGUGUCUGGGUGCGUGGCUUUCCUGUCAGCUGGUCUGCCAGGAGACCGGUCAUGGGAGAGCAUCAGGGCUGCCUCAUCUGUCUGCGCUGCACCGGUUUGGGGCCUGCCUUUGUUGCAAAGAAUCGCCACAUUUGUCUCUAGGAGAAAUAGAACAUUAGAAUAUUGUGUGCUUUGAAACUCGUAACCAUAGAAACCUCACUAGGUAGUUACUGUUUUGCAUUAAGAAACUAAGAGAAACUGGAUGAAACAACGAAGAACCAAAUAAAGGAGUUUUGUUUGAA